This 697-nucleotide long non-coding RNA is filed under the name Manacus vitellinus (golden-collared manakin). RNAcentral describes it as "lncRNA (ENSMVIG00005003733.1)". The record is from RNAcentral. Lineage: Eukaryota; Metazoa; Chordata; Aves; Passeriformes; Pipridae.
CCAGCAAUAUACCCAAGUAAUUGGGGACACCAAGGUGAGAGAAACCACUGAGUUAUUUCUGAUUUUCUUACCUCUGCAGACAUUUUUACCUUUUAUUCUGGAUGGGAACGGUGACUUUCAUCUGGCUCCAACAUCAGACCUUCAAAGGAGGAUGUGCUGCAGGUACACCAGCUCUCGUGUCCACGGUGGAUCACCACUGCCAUUUCCAGUGCUCCAGGCCCCAGCCAGUUUCAAGAUGAGGACUGCCUGGAGGGUGUCUAGAAAGCCAGCAGAAGGCAGCCCAUUCCCGAGGAACAGUACCUGCCUGCAGAAGCGAGAAGGAGGUCAGUAGUGGGUGCAGCAGGAAGGACUCAGAGCAGGCUUUGGUCAACAGAAAAUAAGAGAGCAAAUUACAUCUCUUCAGUCCUAGAAAACCUCUGGGAGGGUAGGAUGGUGAGAGGGAGGAGGCAGAAGGAAAACGAGAGAUGAUGAUUAGGGUUGUAUGACUGACGGCUGUAAGGGGAGGGAACCUUUAAAGGGAUAGUGAAGAGGGAGCGUGGGGUAAGGGCAGAGGAGGAGUGAGCAAUGGAUGGGGAAGAUGGGAAAGGCGGGAAUCUGGGCACGGGAGAAAAGGCCUGAGAAGAAGUGAAGGCGUAAGAGUUGGGGGGCAGGGGAAUGGAGGAAUAAACGGCGGGGGGACAGGGACGGGUGUCCCCGC